Long non-coding RNA from Gasterosteus aculeatus aculeatus (three-spined stickleback), 958 nucleotides. Lineage: Eukaryota; Metazoa; Chordata; Actinopteri; Perciformes; Gasterosteidae. The record is from Ensembl.
AGCAAAGGAAACUCCACAGCUGACGGCACACAUCUGAAUGCAGGAUGUUGCAUGUUCAACUAUUCCAUAGUUGCAACAUCUGUUCUCAAAAAGAUCUUUCGUACGGUAAGUGAAGCCUUUUGCCACAAUAUACACAGCAACGUGUAGCUGAACCUUUUAAUGAAUUCUCCACCAGCUGCGAUUUACACAAAUGAACACGCCGAGUCCACCUUCACUUAACCAGCACAUCCAGUAGUGUACAAAGACAAAUGCAAGCAGGAGCCGGUUCAACAGGACGGCGUGCUGCACGCCGCCAUGGAUUUCGGCAGGCUGACGGGGAAGCACGGCGUGAGGAUCGCGCUGAGCCCCUCGUACUCGGUGGAGGACUGCAGUCUGGCCGUGGGGAAGCUGGUGGGCCACCGCAGCGUGAAGUCCGCAGCGCGCAUGAACAACGCGGUGGUCAUCUUCCUCGACAGCGUGGAGAAGUCGGACGCGGUGGUGGUCAGCGGGAUUGCCGUGCACGGCGCGCUCGUGCCCGUUCUGCCUCUCCCCACGCCGGCGGUGAGAGUGACGGUGUCGAACGUCCCCCCGUUCAUCGGGGACGAGGCUCUGGUCAAGGAGCUGUCAAAGUAUGGGAAGGUGUUGUCUCCCGUAAAGAAGGUCUCUUCGGGGUGCAAGUCCCCGCUGCUGAGACACGUGGUGUCACACAAAAGGCAACUCCUCAUGGUCCUCAAGACAGGACCAAGGAGCUCAACCUGAUGUUUGGAGUCGAAGUGGAGGACUUUGUGCAUGUGGUGUUUGCCACUUCUGACAAUAUGAACUGUUUCAGGUGUGGCAGAAAAGGACAUCUCGCCAGAACAUGUCCGGGAAAGGACUCUGCCGAGAGUGCAGAAGAACGAGGUGUGGAGGAUCGGGACGGUCAGGGAAGACAGGAGAAGACAGGUGGGAUCAAGCAGGCGGCUGAGAACGGACAGCAGGG